UCGGGAAUUUUCCACAAUGGGCGAAAGCCUGAUGGAGCAACGCCGCGUGCAGGAUGAAGGCCUUCGGGUUGUAAACUGCUUUUAUGAGUGAAGAAUAUGACGGUAACUCAUGAAUAAGGAUCUGCUAACUACGUGCCAGCAGCCGCGGUCAUACGUAGGAUCCAAGCGUUAUCCGGAUUUACUGGGCGUAAAGAGUUGCGUAGGUGGCUUGUCAAGCAAGGUAUGAAAGCGUGUGGCUCAACCACAUAUCCAUGCCUUGAACUGAUAAGCUAGAGCACGAGAGAGGUAACUGGAAUUCCUAGUGUAGGGGUGAAAUCCGUAGAUAUUAGGAGGAACACCGAUGGCGUAAGCAGGUUACUGGCUCGUUGCUGACACUCAGGCACGAAAGCGUGGGGAGCGAACGGGAUUAGAUACCCCUGUAGUCC
RNAcentral lists this ribosomal RNA (425 nucleotides) under uncultured bacterium. RNAcentral's name for it is "bacterial SSU rRNA". It matches the Rfam family "Bacterial small subunit ribosomal RNA", at positions 355 to 796 of the family's 1533-position model. The record is from RNAcentral.